RNAcentral lists this long non-coding RNA (792 nucleotides) under Callithrix jacchus (white-tufted-ear marmoset). Its description in RNAcentral is "lncRNA (ENSCJAG00000080620.1)". Lineage: Eukaryota; Metazoa; Chordata; Mammalia; Primates; Cebidae. The record is from RNAcentral.
AUAAUAUUCAGAGGUUGGGAUGGGUGCUGUGACAAAUGGGAAUAGGGCAUUCUGAAAAGUAAAACUAGGGCAGGGUAAUGCCUAAUUCGAAGAGUCAGAAAAGUGACAUCAAGCUGAGAACUAAAGGAUUUCCCUUGAAAUGAAGGCGGUAUGUUCGUAUGGGGCUUGGGGGAAGGCAAGAUUGGAAUUCACAACUGGAUUUAAAAAAUUAGGCAAAUGACAAAGUCAGGAAAUGAUUUGAGAGGAAGAGCUCCAGACCCCCACCACAAAGCUAAGGAGAACUGACCAUCAAGGCUUCAAGAUCUUCAAGAGAUAGUCCACAGAGUCUGUAAAUCACCCACUGUCACGGGAGUUCUUCUACUUGCCUGAUCACAGGAAUCAUCAGACCCUCCACCUAUGAGUUACAUGACCUUCCUGGAGACUUUGGUGCAUUAAUGAUGGGGUGUGGUCCAGAAUACAGAGAAGAGAAUAAAGGACCAGGGGGAUCUUCUCAGGUGACUGCUGUAAUUUGGAUGUGUCUCCCAAAGUUUAUGUGUUGGAAAAGUUUCCAGUGCAACAGUUUUGGGAGGGAGAGUGGUUCAUUUCCAUGCUAAAAUUGAAAUAACAAUAAUACAAGGAAUCUAAGGUUCCAAGAGUCAAAGAAGCUUGCCCAAAUGUCACAGUUAAUGAGAGGAAGAACUGGAACUGAAACACAUGUCCUCAGUCUCCAAACCAUGGGAAGCUUCCACUGAGCCACACUACCACCCCGACAUAACAACUUCUAAGGGUUUCCUUCAAGCAGGGACUGAACUG